GUAUUCUCUUGGUGAUAUUUGCAUCUAUGGCUUCUCACUUCUUUCCUAAUUUUUGUAUCUCCAGAGUUGUCUCCCUUUGUGAUUUGUUUAUUGUUUCUACUUCAAUUUUUAUAUCCUGGAUGGUUUUGUUCAAUUCUUUCACCUGUUUGGAUGAGUUUUCCUGUACUUCUUUAAGGAAUUUUUGUGUUUACUCUUUAUGGGCUUCUACCUGUUUACCUGUGUUCUCCUGUAAUUCUUUAAGGGAGUUAUUUAAUGUCCUUUUUAUAGUCUUCCCUUAUCAUUAUGAGAAGUGACUUUAGAUCCAUAUCUUGUUUUUCUGGUGUGAUGUUGUAUCCAGGAAUUGCUAUGGGGGGAGAGUUGUGUUCUGAUGAUGCCAAGUAACCUUGGUUUCUGUUGCUUCUGUUCUUAUGCUUGCCUCCUGCCAUCUGAUUAUCUCAAGUGCUCCCUGCCCUCAAUAUUUGAAGAACAGAUUUGAACCUGUCCUUCCUGUAAUCCCAUUUGAGUCAGAAGUUCUCAGAGUCCAGUUUUCUCUAUGAUCCUGUGAUUUUGGGAUCCUGUGAUGCUGAGAUUCUUGGUGUGUCAGUGUUCUUGGCUGUCACGCUUCCUCUUAGAUGCUGAGAUCCUGGUGUAACCAAGCUCUUGGAAUCCUUGGAUCCUAAGAUCCUGGGCUUGUUAGAGCACCUGGAAAUGGUAUUGCCUCUGGGGACCAUGGGAAUGUCAGCUGGGUUUCAAAACAAGUUAGACCAGUGCUGCCUGGAAGUAACCUGAGCUACUAGUUGGGUGGGGGUCCCUGUGUCCCUGUUCCUGCUGGCUCCAGGCACUCCCCAUUCUGUUGGAACAGAUAUUGUGUUCUACUCACCAGUGAUCCUAAGACCAUGGGCAUUCUAGGGCGCCUGUGGGGGGGGGGUGUGUGUGUGGUGUGUGGAGCGUCCUCUGGGGACCAUGGGACUGUCCGCUGAGUUCACUCCCAGGGUGGCCAGGUGCUGGUGCUGACCAGAAGGAACCCAAGCCACUGAUCAGAGGUCAUGAGGAAUCAAGUUCUACCUCUGGUAAAAAGCCUCUUGCUCCCAGAAGAAAGUCAAGUAGGAACAUACACCUUUGAAUGACAUCUCGCCAUUUACUGAAGUUAUCAUCAUCAGAUCUGUGCUACCUACCCAUUAAAACUUGUCUGGACAUUUUUAAACCUCAA
Long non-coding RNA from Mus musculus (house mouse), 1189 nucleotides. RefSeq annotates it as predicted gene, 57532. The record is from RefSeq and is a predicted model, not a curated record. The transcript has 2 exons. NCBI's taxonomy places the organism in Eukaryota, Metazoa, Chordata, Mammalia, Rodentia, Muridae.